Engraulis encrasicolus (European anchovy) is the source of this 461-nucleotide non-coding RNA. The record is from the annotation of a RefSeq genome assembly. Lineage: Eukaryota; Metazoa; Chordata; Actinopteri; Clupeiformes; Engraulidae.
AUGUUGGGUUCCCAUAAAUGCUCUUGGCACAGCUGAAGGCUCCAACUGAGACAGCAGCACCUACAGCAGCAAUGAUGUUGAUCCCACUCUUCUUCAGCAGUCUCUUCUUCUUUAUUCAGGACGCCUUUGGACAAGUGACCAUCACUCAAUCCCCAGCAAUAUCCACCAGUACAGGAGGCAAGGUCACAAUCAACUGCAAACGGGCUGGAAGUGUUUACCGGGACUACUGUAGUCCAAAAUGUAUCUCCUGGUACCAGCAGAAGCCUGGGGAGAAACCCAAACUCCUCAUCUACAAUGUGAAGAGCCGCCAGUCUGGUAUUCCUGCUAGAUUCAGUGGCAGUGGAUCUGGGAAUGACUACAGUUUGACCAUCAGUGGAGUCCUGAGUGAAGAUGCUGGAGAUUAUUACUGCAUGAGUGCUCAUGAUCCUACUGUCGGUGUUGCAGAGUUCACACAGUGGUAG